Molecule: ribosomal RNA, 748 nt
Filed under: uncultured Chlamydia sp.
Lineage: Bacteria; Pseudomonadati; Chlamydiota; Chlamydiia; Chlamydiales; Chlamydiaceae
Description: bacterial SSU rRNA
Source: RNAcentral
CAUGCAAGUCGAACGGAAUAAUGACUUCGGUUGUUAUUUAGUGGCGGAAGGGUUAGUAAUACAUAGAUAAUCUGUCCUCAACUUGGGAAUAACGGUUGGAAACGACCGCUAAUACCGAAUGUAGUAUGUUUAGGCAUCUAAAACAUAUUAAAGAAGGGGAUCUUCGGACCUUUCGGUUAAGGGAGAGUCUAUGGGAUAUCAGCUUGUUGGUGGGGUAAUGGCCUACCAAGGCUUUGACGUCUAGGCGGAUUGAGAGAUUGACCGCCAACACUGGGACUGAGACACUGCCCAGACUUCUACGGAAGGCUGCAGUCGAGAAUCUUUCGCAAUGGACGAAAGUCUGACGAAGCGACGCCGCGUGUGUGAUGAAGGCUCUAGGGUUGUAAAGCACUUUCGCUUGGGAAUAAGAGAGAUUGGCUAAUAUCCAAUCGAUUUGAGCGUACCAGGUAAAGAAGCACCGGCUAACUCCGUGCCAGCAGCUGCGGUAAUACGGAGGGUGCUAGCGUUAAUCGGAUUUAUUGGGCGUAAAGGGCGUGUAGGCGGAAAGGAAAGUUAGAUGUUAAAUCUUGGGGCUCAACCCCAAGCCAGCAUCUAAUACUAUCUUUCUAGAGGGUAGAUGGAGAAAAGGGAAUUCCACGUGUAGCGGUGAAAUGCGUAGAUAUGUGGAAGAACACCAGUGGCGAAGGCGCUUUUCUAAUUUACACCUGACGCUAAGGCGCGAAAGCAAGGGGAGCAAACAGGAUAAGWC